AGAGUUUGAUCCUGGCUCAGAACGAACGCUGGCGGCAGGCCUAACACAUGCAAGUCGAACGCGAACGCUCCUUCGGGAGUUAUUAGAGUGGCGCACGGGUGAGUAACGCGUAGGAAUCUACCUGAUAGUGGGGAAUAACAGUUGGAAACGACUGCUAAUACCCCAUACGCCCUUCGGGGGAAAGUUUUAUCGCUAUCAGAUGAGCCUGCGUUAGAUUAGCUUGUUGGUGAGGUAAUGGCUCACCAAGGCUACGAUCUAUAGCUGGUCUGAGAGGAUGGCCAGCCACACUGGAACUGAGACACGGUCCAGACUCCUACGGGAGGCAGCAGUGAGGAAUAUUGCGCAAUGGGCGAAAGCCUGACGCAGCCAUGCCGCGUGAGUGAUUAAGGCCUUCGGGUUGUAAAACUCUUUCAGUAGGGAAGAUGAUGACGGUACCUACAGAAGAAGCCCCGGCUAACUUCGUGCCAGCAGCCGCGGUAAUACGAAGGGGGCUAGCGUUGUUCGGAAUCACUGGGCGUAAAGCGCGGGUAGGCGGUUCAAUAAGUCAGAUGUGAAAGCCCGGGGCUCAAUCUCGGAACUGCAUUUGAAACUGUUAGACUAGAGUAUGUUAGAGGCAAGUGGAAUUCCUAGUGUAGAGGUGAAAUUCGUAGAUAUUAGGAGGAACACCAGAAGCGAAGGCGACUUGCUGGGACAUAACUGACGCUGAACUGCGAAAGCGUGGGGAGCAAACAGGAUUAGAUACCCUGGUAGUCCACGCCGUAAACGAUGGAUGCUAGAUGUUGGGAGGUAACUUUCAGUGUCGUAGCUAACGCGUUAAGCAUCCCGCCUGGUGAGUACGGUCGCAAGAUUAAGACUCAAAGGAAUUGACGGGGACCCGCACAAGCGGUGGAGCAUGUGGUUUAAUUCGAGGCAACGCGAAGAACCUUACCAGCCCUUGACAUGCCUGUCGUGGAUUUCAGAGAUGAUUUCCUUCAGUUCGGCUGGACAGUGCACAGGUGGUGCAUGGCUGUCGUCAGCUCGUGUCGUGAGAUGUUGGGUUAAGUCCCGCAACGAGCGCAACCCUCACCCUUAUUUGCCAGCGGUUUUAGCCGGGAACUAUAGGGGAACUGCCUAGUUUAACUAGGAGGAAGGUGGGGAUGACGUCAAGUCAUCAUGCUCCUUAUGGGCUGGGCUACACACGUGCUACAAUGGCGGUGACAGUGGGAAGCAACCUCGCGAGGGGAAGCGGAUCUCCAAAAACCGUCUCAGUUCAGAUUGCAGGCUGCAACUCGCCUGCAUGAAGUCGGAAUCGCUAGUAAUCGCGUAUCAGCAUGACGCGGUGAAUACGUUCCCGGGUCUUGUACACACCGCCCGUCACACCAUGGGAGUUGGCUCUACCUUAAGCCGCCAGGCUAACCCUUCGGGGAGGCAGGUGACCACGGUAGUGUUAGCGGCUGGGGUGAAGUCGAAACAAGGUA
This 1457-nucleotide ribosomal RNA is filed under the name metagenome. RNAcentral's name for it is "bacterial SSU rRNA". It matches the Rfam family "Bacterial small subunit ribosomal RNA". The record is from RNAcentral.